Molecule: ribosomal RNA, 303 nt
Filed under: uncultured bacterium
Lineage: Bacteria
Description: bacterial SSU rRNA
Rfam family: Bacterial small subunit ribosomal RNA
Source: RNAcentral
GAUGAACGCUGGCGGCGUGCUUAACACAUGCAAGUCGAACGGAAAGGCCCUGCUUGCAGGGUACUCGAGUGGCGAACGGGUGAGUAACACGUGGGUGAUCUGCCCUGUACUUUGGGAUAAGCCUGGGAAACUGGGUCUAAUACCGAAUAUGACCACUUCUUGGAUGGGGUGGUGGAAAGCUUUUGCGGUAUGGGAUGAGCUCGCGGCCUAUCAGCUUGUUGGUGGGUAAUGGCCUACCAAGGCGUCGACGGGUAGCCGGCCUGAGAGGGUGUACGGCCACAUUGGGACUGAGAUACGGCCCAG